This is a long non-coding RNA of Octopus bimaculoides (California two-spot octopus), 457 nucleotides long. RefSeq lists it as uncharacterized. Lineage: Eukaryota; Metazoa; Mollusca; Cephalopoda; Octopoda; Octopodidae. The record is from RefSeq and is a predicted model, not a curated record.
AUCAAAAGUAUUCUUUCCCCAACGGCUAUUGUAAGGCACCAAGCUACAAUCCUCCAUUUUGUGAUUUUGUCUCUGUUCAUGCUACUACAUAAAGUUAACAAGAGCUGCCAUGUAGAUGUUAACAAGAGCUUUCCAUACCAAUAAUUAACUAUCAGGUUUCUCCAAGAAAAGAAAUUGCAUUUCAUUGAAAAUAUUUUGUCAGGCCAAGAGGAUGAUGAAGAUGACAAUGAUGAUGAUGAAGACUCUCGCAAUGAUAGUGACAGUAAAGAUGACGAUAAGGAUGACAAUCCUGAUGGUGAAGAUAGUGGUUAUGGUGAGGAUAAGAGGCAAUAAAGGUGAUAAUGGUGAGAUACCGCUACCAAAAUAAUGGCAAUGAUUAUAAUGAUGGUGAGGAUGAUAAAAGUGGUGGUGGCGGCACCAGCGGUGGUAGUGGUGCUGGUGGUGCUGGUGCUGAUGU